Molecule: ribosomal RNA, 514 nt
Filed under: uncultured bacterium
Lineage: Bacteria
Description: bacterial SSU rRNA
Rfam family: Bacterial small subunit ribosomal RNA
Source: RNAcentral
ACGCUGGCGGCGUGCCUAAUACAUGCAAGUCGAACGGUCUUUUCUAUGGAAGCUUGCUUCCACUGAAAAGAUAGUGGCGAACGGGUGAGUAACACGUGGGUAACCUGCCCAUAAGAGGGGGAUAACAUCCGGAAACGGGUGCUAAUACCGCAUAGUUUUCUUGAUCGCAUGAUCGGGAAAGGAAAGACGGCCUUUGUGCUGUCGCUUAUGGAUGGACCCGCGGCGUAUUAGUUAGUUGGUGAGGUAACGGCUCACCAAGACGAUGAUACGUAGCCGACCUGAGAGGGUGAUCGGCCACAUUGGGACUGAGACACGGCCCAAACUCCUACGGGAGGCAGCAGUAGGGAAUCUUCCGCAAUGGACGAAAGUCUGACGGAGCAACGCCGCGUGAGUGAAGAAAAGGUUUUCGGAUCGUAAAACUCUGUUGUCAGAGAAGAACAAGUUGGAGAGUAACUGCUCCAGCCUUGACGGUAUCUGACCAGAAAGCCACGGCUAACUACGUGCCAGCCGCGGC